UACGAAGGGGACUAGCGUUGUUCGGAAUUACUGGGCGUAAAGCGCACGUAGGCGGAGUUGCCAGUCAGAGGUGAAAUCCCAGGGCUCAACCCUGGAACUGCCUUUGAUACAGCAACUCUUGAGUCCGAUAGAGGUGAGUGGAAUUCCUAGUGUAGAGGUGAAAUUCGUAGAUAUUAGGAAGAACACCAGUGGCGAAGGCGGCUCACUGGAUCGGUACUGACGCUGAGGUGCGAAAGCGUGGGGAUCAAACAGG
Molecule: ribosomal RNA, 253 nt
Filed under: uncultured bacterium
Lineage: Bacteria
Description: partial 16S ribosomal RNA
Rfam family: Bacterial small subunit ribosomal RNA
Source: RNAcentral